RNAcentral lists this transfer RNA (81 nucleotides) under Paragonimus westermani. Its description in RNAcentral is "tRNA-Asn". It matches the Rfam family "tRNA". From Rfam's summary of the family: Transfer RNA (tRNA) molecules are approximately 80 nucleotides in length. Lineage: Eukaryota; Metazoa; Platyhelminthes; Trematoda; Plagiorchiida; Troglotrematidae. The record is from RNAcentral.
GGCUUCGUGGCUCAGCUGAUAGAGCGCUUGCCGCGUUGAGGCAUGCCGUGUCUAUCGCUGGCUCGAAUCCAUCCGAAGCCC